Molecule: long non-coding RNA, 1354 nt
Organism: Raphanus sativus (radish)
Lineage: Eukaryota; Viridiplantae; Streptophyta; Magnoliopsida; Brassicales; Brassicaceae
Exons: 3
Source: RefSeq, a predicted model, not a curated record
UAAUUUUGUGAGGGCUAUUUUUGUGAAAAAAGUUAAAAUAAAUUAUUUGAGAGAAUUUCCCUUAGGUUUUGUUGCAGUAGAUCAGAUUUCAGUUAAAAGAUUGAGACCAAGAAGACAAAAAAUCCAUAUAUUAAAUAUGCGUGGAGCGAGCCGAAGGAAAACGAUCAACAUCGCCAAGGACCCGGCUGUUCACUUGAUCGCCGGAUCGGACCCGACCUUGUGGGGACGAACUGAUUCGUUCGGUUGGUUCGGGAAGUAUUCUCUCAGACGCUGAUGCACGCUCUCUCUGAGCUUGAAUUCGCUUUUCAUUAUGUCAACAGAGGCGGCCCUUGAGUCGGGUAAUUACAAAGACCGGCUCUGUAUGUCAACACCGACAAUGAUUUCCAGGUAUGUGGGCUCAGCUUCUUAGACUAAAAAUAAAAAAAUUAUGCGUUUUGGGUCUUUUGGAUUAUACCGUUAUCGUUUUCAAAUUGACAUUUGGAUCUUGUGAUCCAGAGAAAAAUGUAUAGAUGAAUUUGGUAGAGAGAAAUGUUAUUAUGAGUCUUUUUUUUUUAAUAAUGUUAUUAUGAGUCUUGUGUUGAUAUUUUUUUUAUUUUCGUCUUGUGUUGAUAUUCUUAUUUCAUUUCUCUCUGGUUUGUGUUAAUGGUGAGAAAGAGAGUUGGCAGGGGUCUCAUACAGUUGGCAUGGCUCUCAUACAGUCUUAUUAUGUUACUAAACUAAAUUAUAUCAUGAAAUUUUAUAAUUCCCAAACUAAACCAGUGAUGAUUAUAUUUUCUCUUAUACAUAAUCUAAUAAAGGCUAUCUUACGAAACUAAUUUUCUGCUGUUUAAUUAUAGUUAUGAGCAAGACUCAACAGACUUCUUAGAUUCCCACAGAUGAUGCAUUCUACAGGGACUGGACAAUAGAAGAGACCAAACAAUACUUGCCGAUGCAAAGGUAAAAUUCAAUGUAAGAUAUCAGAUUGUAGUUAGAGAGAGAGGAUGGGGAGAUAGAAUUGUAUGGCGUUGCCUCUUACGACAUGGGCCUAAAAUGGAAUAUUCUCAAACUAUAUGGCGUGCUUAUAGAGGCGCCGCAGAAUAUCGAUGUGGUGAAAAACGUUCAUGGAUUGCUAGACCUGAUGGAAUUUACUUCGAGAGAAAUGGUGAACCAAAGGGGCACAGAUAUUUUUGGAUUUUUACUAACAAAUGAGUUUUGUCUUCUUAGAAGCUAUUUACAUUUGACACUAAGAUUAAUUUUUUCAUGAGAUAGAACAUCAUAUUAUUUUGAAAUAAUAAUAACGUACAAAUAAAUGUAUUAUAAAUAACAGUUAAUAAUUUAUUCGGUAAUAAAUGUAUGAUAAAUAUCAGUUUAUAAA